This 460-nucleotide ribosomal RNA is filed under the name uncultured bacterium. RNAcentral's name for it is "partial 16S ribosomal RNA". It matches the Rfam family "Bacterial small subunit ribosomal RNA", at positions 338 to 795 of the family's 1533-position model. The record is from RNAcentral.
GCUACGGGAGGCAGCAGUGAGGAAUAUUGGUCAAUGGGCGCGAGCCUGAACCAGCCAAGUAGCGUGAAGGAUGACUGCCCUACGGGUUGUACACUUCUUUUAUAAAGGAAUAAAGUGAGGCACGUGUGCCUUUUUGUAUGUACUUUAUGAAUAAGGAUCGGCUAACUCCGUUCCAGCAGCCGCGGUAAUACGGAGGAUCCGAGCGUUAUCCGGAUUUAUUGAGGUUAAAGGGAGCGUAGAUGGGUGUUUAAGUCAGUUGUGAAAGUUUGCGGCUCAACCGGAAAAUUGCAAUUGAUACUGGCAGUCUUGAGUACAGUUGAGGUAGGCGGAAUUCGUGGUGUAGCGGUGAAAUGCUUAGAUAUCACGAAGAACUCCGAUUGCGAAGGCAGCUUACUAAACUGCCACUGACAUUGAUGCUCGAAAGUGUGGGUAUCAAACAGGAUUAGAUACCCCAGUAGUC